Molecule: ribosomal RNA, 497 nt
Filed under: uncultured bacterium
Lineage: Bacteria
Description: partial 16S ribosomal RNA
Rfam family: Bacterial small subunit ribosomal RNA
Source: RNAcentral
GAUGAACGCUGGCGGCGUGCCUAAUACAUGCCAGUCGAGCGAACAGACGAGGAGCUUGCUCCUUUGACGUUAGCGGCGGACGGGUGAGUAACACGUGGGUAACCUACCUAUAAGACUGGGAUAACUUCGGGAAACCGGAGCUAAUACCGGAUAAUAUUUCGAACCGCAUGGUUCGAUAGUGAAAGAUGGCUUUGCUAUCACUUAUAGAUGGACCUGCGCCGUAUUAGCUAGUUGGUAAGGUAACGGCUUACCAAGGCAACGAUACGUAGCCGACCUGAGAGGGUGAUCGGCCACACUGGAACUGAGACACGGUCCAGACUCCUACGGGAGGCAGCAGUAGGGAAUCUUCCGCAAUGGGCGAAAGCCUGACGGAGCAACGCCGCGUGAGUGAUGAAGGUCUUCGGAUCGUAAAACUCUGUUAUUAGGGAAGAACAAACGUGUAAGUAACUGUGCACGUCUUGACGGUACCUAAUCAGAAAGCCACGGCUAACUACAUG